Gorilla gorilla gorilla (western lowland gorilla) is the source of this 2392-nucleotide long non-coding RNA. RefSeq lists it as uncharacterized. The record is from RefSeq and is a predicted model, not a curated record. The transcript has 3 exons. Lineage: Eukaryota; Metazoa; Chordata; Mammalia; Primates; Hominidae.
AAAGUACCACUCGCUAUGAAGCGCAUAGAUGAAAUUGACCAACGUGUUGAAGGCGGCCAUGGAGGCGUCGGAGAAAGCCAGGUUCACAAGGAAGUAGUUGGUGACAGUCCUCAUGCGCUUGUGGGCCAGGAUGAUCCAGAUGACGAUGAGAUUUCCCAAAACUGCCACUGCCACCACCACACCAUACGCCAGGGACCAGAGCGCGAUGCGCCAGGACGGCUGCACGAACUGUUCUGUCACCCAGGCUGGAAUGCAGUGGUGCAAUCAUAGCUCACUGCAGCCUUCGACUCCUGGCUCAAGCGAUCCUUCCCCACCUCAGCUUCCUGAGUAGCUAGUACUACAGGCAUGUGCCACCAGUGCCACCACAACCAGCUAAUUUAAAUUUGUUGUUGUUGUUGUUGCGACAUGGUCUGGCAAUGUCGUUCAGCCUGGUCUCCAACUCCUGGCCUUAAGCAAUCUUCCCAGCUCGGCCUCCCAAAAGGCUGGACCUCCAACAAUGCUGGGAUUACAGGCAUGAGCCACUGUGCCUGGCCCUUCUGCAUUCUUUAGUUUUCCAGUUUAAAAUAUACUCUUCAAAGAACCUGCUGUGAUGAUUGGACAAGUGGACUUAAGCCUGCCAAGUGCCUGGGAUUGCAGGCGCGCGCCGCCACGCCUGACUGGUUUUCAUAUUUUUUUGGUGGAGACGGGGUUUCGCUGUGUUGGCCGGGCUGGUCUCCAGCUCCUAACCGCGAGUGAUCUGCCAGCCUCAGCCUCCCGAGGUGCCAGGAUUGCAGACGGAGUCUCACUCACUCACUGCUCAGUGUUGCCCAGGCUGGAGUGCAGUGGCGUGAUCUCCGCUAGCUACAACCUCCACCUCCCAGCCGCCUGCCUUGGCUUCCCAAAGUGCCGAGAAUGUAGCCUCUGCCCGGCUGCCACCCCAUCUGGGAAGUGAGGAGCGUCUCUGCCUGGCCGCCCAUCGUCUGGGAUGUGAGGAGCCCCUCUGCCCGGCCGCCCAGUCUGGGAAGUGAGGAGCGCCUCUUCCCGGCCGCCAUCCCGUGUAGGAAGUGAGGAGCGUCUCUGCCCGGCCGCCCAUCGUCUGAGAUGUGGGGAGCGCCUCCGCACCGCCGCCCCGCCGCCCCCUCUGGGAUGUGAGGAGUGCCUCUGCCCAGCCGCGACCCCAUCUGGGAGGUGAGGAGCCCCUCUGCCCAGCAGCCGCCCCGUCUGGGAGGGAGGUGGGGGGCAGCCCCCGCCCGGCCAGCCGCCCCGUCUGGGAGGUGGGGGGCACCUCCGCCUGGCUGCCCUGUCUGGGAAGUGAGGAGCCCCUCUGCCUAGCAGCCACCCCAUCUGGGAGGUGUACCCAACAGCUCAUUGAGAACAGGCCAUGAUGACGAUGGCGGUUUUGUCGAAUAGAAAAGGGGGAAAUGUGGGAAAAAGAUAGAGAAAUCAGAUUGUUGCUGUGUCUGUGUAGAGGGAAGUAGACGUAGGAGACUCCAUUUUGUUCUGUACUAAGAAAAAUUCUUCUGCCUUGGGAUGCUGUUAAUCUAUAACCUUACCCCCAACCCCGUGCUCUCUGAAACAUGUGCUGUGUCCACUCAGGGUUAAAUGGAUUAAGGGCGGUGCAAGAUGUGCUUUGUUAAACAGAUGCUUGAAGGCAGCAUGCUCUAUAAGAGUCAUCACCACUCCCUAAUCUCAAGUACCCAGGGACACAAACACUGCCAAAGGCCACAGGGUCCUCUGCCUAGGAAAACCAGAGACCCUUGUUCACAUGUUUAUCUGCUGACCUUCCCUCCACUAUUGUCCUAUGACCCUGCCAAAUCCCCCUCUCUGAGAAACACCCAAGAAUGAUCAAUAAAUACUAAAAAAAAAAAAAAAAAAAAGAAAUGGUAACAAUGGAUACCUUUACCUUGUUUCCAAUCUUAGUGGGAAAGUAUUCAGUUUUUCACCAUUAUGAAUGAUGUUAUCUAUAGGUUCUUUGUAGAUGGCCCUCAUCAAUUUGAGGAAGUUCCCUUCUAUUCCUAGUUUGCUGACUAUAUUUAUCAUGGCCCGAAGGUGAACUUUUUCAAAUGCCUUUUCUGUAUCUAUUGGGACAACCAUAUGGUUUGUUUUUUAAUACACUUAUGUGGUGAAUUGCAUUUAUUGAUUUUUGAAUGUUACAGUAUACUUACAUUCCUGGUAUAAAUUCUACUUUUUCAUGAUGUAUUAUCUUUUAAAAAUAUGAUUAAAAUAUGAUUGAAUGUAGUUUACUAAUAAAAAUAAAUAAAUAAAUAAAAAACAUGUUUAAAAAAAAGAAAUAGGAAGGUACGGAGAAAAAUGAGAGUGUUUAACUGUGUAAGAGAAUGUGGUGCCCACUGAUUCUGGAUUGUUCCAACUUCUCUUGUAAAUGUUUGAGAUGGACAUGCUAAUUACCCUUAAC